GACCACGUAGCUCAGUUGGCAGAGCAUUGGGCUAGUAUCCAAAAGGUCGCGGGCUCGAUUCCCACCGUGGCCA
This 73-nucleotide transfer RNA is filed under the name Paramuricea clavata. It matches the Rfam family "tRNA". From Rfam's summary of the family: Transfer RNA (tRNA) molecules are approximately 80 nucleotides in length. Their secondary structure includes four short double-helical elements and three loops (D, anti-codon, and T loops). Further hydrogen bonds mediate the characteristic L-shaped molecular structure. tRNAs have two regions of fundamental functional importance: the anti-codon, which is responsible for specific mRNA codon recognition, and the 3' end, to which the tRNAs corresponding amino acid is attached (by aminoacyl-tRNA synthetases). tRNAs cope with the degeneracy of the genetic code in two manners: having more than one tRNA (with a specific anti-codon) for a particular amino acid; and 'wobble' base-pairing, i.e. permitting non-standard base-pairing at the 3rd anti-codon position. The record is from Rfam by way of RNAcentral. Lineage: Eukaryota; Metazoa; Cnidaria; Anthozoa; Malacalcyonacea; Plexauridae.